UGGGGAAUUGUUCGCAAUGGGCGCAAGCCUGACGACGCAACGCCGCGUGGAGGAUGAAGAUCUUCGGGUCGUAAACUCCUUUCGAUCGAGACGAAUAGCUUCCGGGUAAACAAUCCGGAGGUUUGACGGUACCGAGAGAAGAAGCCCAGGCUAACUCCGUGCCAGCAGCCGCGGUAAUACGGGGGGGGCAAGCGUUGUUCGGAAUUACUGGGCGUAAAGGGCUCGUAGGCGGCCAACUAAGUCAGACGUGAAAUCCCUCGGCUUAACCGGGGAACUGCGUCUGAUACUGGAUGGCUUGAGUUUGGGAGAGGGAUGCGGAAUUCCAGGUGUAGCGGUGAAAUGCGUAGAUAUCUGGAGGAGCACCGGUGGCGAAGGCGGUAUCCUGGACCAACACUGACGCUGAGUGAGCGAAAGCCAGGGGAGCAAAC
This 428-nucleotide ribosomal RNA is filed under the name uncultured bacterium. RNAcentral describes it as "bacterial SSU rRNA". It matches the Rfam family "Bacterial small subunit ribosomal RNA", at positions 355 to 773 of the family's 1533-position model. The record is from RNAcentral.